RNAcentral lists this small RNA (121 nucleotides) under Arabidopsis thaliana (thale cress). RNAcentral describes it as "ATSL201830". Lineage: Eukaryota; Viridiplantae; Streptophyta; Magnoliopsida; Brassicales; Brassicaceae. The record is from RNAcentral.
AAUGGGUAUUGAUCUAGAGAAGAUGGAAACUGCACUAGCUAUCAAAGAGGACGAAGAUUUCACAACAGAAUGGUUUGCACCAGAAGAUCAGAAAGGAGUUCACUUAGAGGAAAGAAGCCUA